RNAcentral lists this ribosomal RNA (483 nucleotides) under uncultured bacterium. Its description in RNAcentral is "partial 16S ribosomal RNA". It matches the Rfam family "Bacterial small subunit ribosomal RNA", at positions 28 to 523 of the family's 1533-position model. The record is from RNAcentral.
GACGAACGCUGGCGGCGUGCUUAACACAUGCAAGUCGAACGGUGAAGCCCAGCUUGCUGGGUGGAUCAGUGGCGAACGGGUGAGUAACACGUGAGUAACCUGCCCCUGACUCUGGGAUAAGCCUUGGAAACGAGGUCUAAUACCGGAUACGAGACGCUCGUGCAUGCGAAGUGUCUGGAAAGAUUUAUCGGUCAGGGAUGGACUCGCGGCCUAUCAGCUUGUUGGUGGGGUAACGGCCUACCAAGGCGACGACGGGUAGCCGGCCUGAGAGGGCGACCGGCCACACUGGGACUGAGACACGGCCCAGACUCCUACGGGAGGCAGCAGUGGGGAAUAUUGCACAAUGGGCGCAAGCCUGAUGCAGCGACGCCGCGUGAGGGAUGAAGGCCUUCGGGUUGUAAACCUCUUUCAGCAGGGAAGAAGCGCAAGUGACGGUACCUGCAGAAGAAGCGCCGGCUAACUACGUGCCAGCCGCCGCCGUAA